This 1501-nucleotide ribosomal RNA is filed under the name uncultured bacterium. Its description in RNAcentral is "partial 16S ribosomal RNA". It matches the Rfam family "Bacterial small subunit ribosomal RNA". The record is from RNAcentral.
AGAGUUUGAUCAUGGCUCAGAAUGAACGUUGGCGGCGUGGAUUAGGCAUGCAAGUCGAGCGCGAAUCAGUCUUCGGACUGAGGACAGCGGCGAACGGGGUAGGAAUACCUCGGUGACGUACCCCCGGGUCGGGGAUAGCGGCGGGAAACUGCCGGUAAUACCCGAUACUCUGCCUUGAUUUGAACUUGGGGCAGCAAAGGUGUGAUUCCGUCUGGGGAGCGGCCGAGGCCGUAUUAGCUUGUUGGUAAGGUAACGGCUUACCAAGGCGAUGAUGCGUAGGGGGUGUGAGAGCAUGGCCCCCACCACUGGCACUGAGACACUGGCCAGACACCUACGGGUGGCUGCAGUCGAGAAUCUUCGGCAAUGGGCGCAAGCCUGACCGAGCGACGCCGCGUGCGGGAUGAAGGUCUUCGGAUUGUAAACCGCUGUCGGAGGGGAUGAAAUGCGUCGGGGUACUCCCCGGCGUUUGACAGAGCCUCGGAGGAAACCCCGGCUAACUCCGUGCCAGCAGCCGCGGUAAUACGGGGGGGGUAAGCGUUGUUCGGAAUUACUGGGCGUAAAGGGCUCGUAGGCGGCACUAAGUCAGACGUGAAAUCUCAAGCUUAACUGGGAAACUGCGUCUGAUACUGGAUGRCUUGARUKMGGKARRGGKRUGYRGAACUUCCAGGUGKAGCGGUGAAAUGYGUAGAUAUYKGRAGGAAYMCCGGUGGCGAARGCGRCAYMCUGGRCCKWSWYUGACGCUGAGGMRCGAAAGCYAGGGGAGYRAACGGGAUUAGAUACCCCGGUARUCCURGCCSUAAACRMUGAAYRCUKGAGKGKGGYGGGUAUCGAUCCCUGCUGUGCCGAAGCUAACGCAUUAAGCAUUCCGCCUGGGGAGUACGGUCGCAAGGCUGAACUCAAAGGAAUUGACGGGGGCCCGCACAAGCGGUGGAGCAUGUGGUUCAAUUCGACGCAACGCGAAGAACCUUACCCAGGCUUGAACUGCGAGUGACCACGCCCGAAAGGGAGCUUCCGCAAGGACACUCGUAGAGGUGCUUGCAUGGCUGUCGUCAAGCUCGUGUCGUGAGAUGUUGGGUUAAGUCCCGCAACGAGCGCAACCCUUGUCCUCUGUUGCCAUCACGUUAUGGUGGGCACUCUGAGGAGACUGCCGGUGAUAAACCGGAGGAAGGUGGGGAUGACGUCAAGUCAGCAUGGCCUUUAUGUCUGGGGCUACACACGUGCUACAAUGGCCGGUACAAAGCGUUGCAAACCCGCGAGGGGGAGCUAAUCGCAGAAAGCCGGUCUCAGUUCGGAUUGUAGGCUGCAACUCGCCUGCAUGAAGUCGGAAUCGCUAGUAAUCGCGGAUCAGCAUGCCACGGUGAAUACGUUCCCGGGCCUUGUACACACCGCCCGUCACGUCACGAAAGCCGGCUGCACUAGAAGUCGCCGAGCUAACCCGCAAGGGAAGCAGGCGCUUAAGGUAUGGUCGGUGAUUGGGGUGAAGUCGUAACAAGGUACCGUA